This 252-nucleotide ribosomal RNA is filed under the name uncultured bacterium. RNAcentral describes it as "partial 16S ribosomal RNA". It matches the Rfam family "Bacterial small subunit ribosomal RNA", at positions 1248 to 1500 of the family's 1533-position model. The record is from RNAcentral.
GACGAAACAGUGAUGUGGAGUAAAACUUAGAAAAGCGACCUCAGUUCGGAUUGAAGGCUGAAAUUCGCCUUCAUGAAGUCGGAAUUGCUAGUAAUGGCAGGUCAGCAUACUGCCGUGAAUACGUUCCCGGGCCUUGUACACACCGCCCGUCACACCAUGAGAGUUGGAGAUACCCGAAGCCUAUGAGCUAACUUUUAGAGGCAGUAGUCGAAGGUAGAAUCAAUGAUUGGGGUGAAGUCGUAACAAGGUACC